This 201-nucleotide ribosomal RNA is filed under the name uncultured bacterium. RNAcentral describes it as "partial 16S ribosomal RNA". It matches the Rfam family "Bacterial small subunit ribosomal RNA", at positions 1290 to 1500 of the family's 1533-position model. The record is from RNAcentral.
AGUUCGGACUGCAGGCUGCAACUCGCCUGCACGAAGCCGGAGUUGCUAGUAAUCGCGGAUCAGAAUGCCGCGGUGAAUGCGUUCCCGGGUCUUGUACACACCGCCCGUCACACCAUGGAAGUUGGGGGUGCCCAAAGCCGGCAGGGAAAUAUGCUGUCUAAGGCAAAACCAAUGACUGGGGUGAAGUCGUAACAAGGUAAC